This 300-nucleotide ribosomal RNA is filed under the name uncultured bacterium. RNAcentral describes it as "bacterial SSU rRNA". It matches the Rfam family "Bacterial small subunit ribosomal RNA", at positions 399 to 691 of the family's 1533-position model. The record is from RNAcentral.
GCGUGCGGGAAGAAGGCCUUCGGGUUGUAAACCGCUUUUGUCAGGGAAGAAAUACUCUGGGCUAAUACCCUGGGGUGAUGACGGUACCUGAAGAAUAAGCACCGGCUAACUACGUGCCAGCAGCCGCGGUAAUACGUAGGGUGCUAGCGUUAAUCGGAAUUACUGGGCGUAAAGCGUGCGCAGGCGGUUGUGUAAGACAGAUGUGAAAUCCCCGGGCUCAACCUGGGAACUGCAUUUGUGACUGCACGGCUUGAGUGCGGCAGAGGGGGAUGGAAUUCCGCGUGUAGCAGUGAAAUGCGU